Molecule: ribosomal RNA, 253 nt
Filed under: uncultured bacterium
Lineage: Bacteria
Description: partial 16S ribosomal RNA
Rfam family: Bacterial small subunit ribosomal RNA
Source: RNAcentral
UACGUAGGGUGCGAGCGUUAAUCGGAAUUACUGGGCGUAAAGGGUGCGCAGGCGGUUGAUUAAGUCAGAUGUGAAAUCCCCGGGCUUAACCUGGGAAUUGCGCUUGAAACUAGGUCGCUAGAGUGUGGCAGAGGGGGGUGGAAUUCCACGUGUAGCAGUGAAAUGCGUAGAGAUGUGGAGGAACACCGAUGGCGAAGGCAGCCCCCUGGGUCAACACUGACGCUCAGGCACGAAAGCGUGGGGAGCAAACAGG